AUGGUCAUUUCUUUUACUUCUUCUUCCGUUUCUAUGGUGAGGACCGUUCAGGGUCCGGGCGGAAGUGAUCUUCUGCGACCUUCCGCUCGGUGGCCGGCGUGGUGUCCCGCUUUUCUAAUUCCUCCCGGGGUUCCUGGGCUUUUGAGCGCAAACGAAGCACAAGGAAAGCUGCAUUGUCGUUUCCAAGAGGGAGUGCCAUGUCGGGCCGAGAAGGUGGAAAGAAGAAACCUUUAAAACAGCCCAAGAAGCAAUCAAAAGAACUAGAUGAGGAAGACCGAGCUUUCAAGCAAAAACAGAAGGAGGAGCAGAAGAAAUUGGAUGAGUUGAAGGCAAAAGCCUCUGGAAAGGGUCCACUUAGUAAGUGGCUUUCUCUUAAAGUUCACACAAAUGAAGAACUGUUUUCAGCAUAAUGUUUGUCAUGCAGAUACAAAUUAAGAGGUUGGGAAAACAUGGCUCAUGGUUUGUCCUGAAUUGAGAGACCAAAUAGUUUUUCAUGGUAUUUGCAGCUUUGAAAAGUCAGCGCUUAAAUCAGCCAUUUUAUUUUGAAGAAAUACACUUGUGGGUUCUGAUGUGACUUGUGCUCCAAAUCCAGAUUGGGCCCUGCACUUAGUUCCUAUUGGAAACUUCUGUAUACGUCUCUCUUCAGUGCUGUUUAACCUUAAAGGUGCCAUUGCAGUGAAUAGCACACACUGUUGUUUUGCUCACAUUCUGAGGCUUGGCUAUUUCCAUAAACAAUAUAUAUUCUCUAUCAGCGUUCAGACACAGACAUAUUUAUGUGCAUAUACAGAGUGGCAGGUCCUCUUUCUCAUAUUUUCUAAUUAUUUUUCUGAUCUCACUUGUUUGCUGUCAGGCUUAUGGAGAUAUCUGCAAAAAUUGGAAAAUUCUUAACCUAAGGACAAGCCAAAUGAAAUGUCAUUAUGAAAUGUCACCGUUUGUAGCCUGCAUAAUUAAAUUAUAAACGGCCCAGAGAGUGCUUUAAGUGCUGUGCAGCGGUAUAGAAGCAAUGUGCUUUAUCACUGCUGCCCAGAGAGUGCUUUAAGUGCUGGUAUAGAAGCAAUGUGCUUUAUCACUGCUCACAGUGAACGGCUCCCUACCAGUUGUACUUGCAUGAAGGCAUUUGAUUUAUGUCCAUCAUGCCAUCAGAUAUGUCAUUAGAUCCCGGUACGUGUUCCCAGCACCAUCUUUAUCUUGAUUGUUAAUGCUAAUAUAAAGGUGAAGAUUCUGUAGCUUUUCUGGGAGUUAAAAAUGGUUUGGCAUAAUUGUAGAUCAUAGGAAGGCAGUAUUUUGCAGUCUGGAUGCCAGUAAGGCCCCCGUAGUCUGGAAGGAUGUGCUCACACACCGCCUGCUGCCAUGUGCUACUAGUUAAAAAGCUGCAAGUUACUUUUAGAUUAAAAAAGGCCUUUGGGGAGUGUUUACCUUGUUUUAAAGGACAAUCAUACUCCUCAUCAAGGAAUUUUCCUUUAUUGAACCUUAACAAAUCCUGGACUGAGAAAUGUGAUGCCAGGUUUUUGCCUCCAGUACAACAUCUUCAUGGUUUUCCUUGACAUAAACUAAUUGUGGCCUCUCUUCUCUUGCAGCUGGAGGUGGGAUUAAGAAGUCUGGCAAAAAGUAGCAGGUUUGGCCAGUACUAUGUUGCAAGAAGGAAGAAACAUUUUGCUCCCCUCAAAUGCUUAGCCGAAGGAUGUGUUUCCAGGCUAAAGCCGUUGGAAACAUUGCUUUGAGCACCUUUGUGUAUUUUGUUCAGACAAAAUAAAUGUGAUGUGUGUGGUCUUUGUUAAUGACUU
Molecule: long non-coding RNA, 1784 nt
Filed under: Pogona vitticeps (central bearded dragon)
Lineage: Eukaryota; Metazoa; Chordata; Lepidosauria; Squamata; Agamidae
Description: lncRNA (ENSPVIG00000004058.1)
Source: RNAcentral